RNAcentral lists this ribosomal RNA (515 nucleotides) under uncultured Bifidobacterium sp. RNAcentral describes it as "partial 16S rRNA". Lineage: Bacteria; Bacillati; Actinomycetota; Actinomycetes; Bifidobacteriales; Bifidobacteriaceae. The record is from RNAcentral.
GGUGUUCUUCCCGAUAUCUACACAUUCCACCGUUACACCGGGAAUUCCAGUCUCCCCUACCGCACUCCAGCCCGCCCGUACCCGGCGCAGACCCACCGUUAAGCGAUGGGCUUUCACACCGGACGCGACGAACCGCCUACGAGCCCUUUACGCCCAAUAAUUCCGGAUAACGCUUGCACCCUACGUAUUACCGCGGCUGCUGGCACGUAGUUAGCCGGUGCUUAUUCGAAAGGUACACUCACCCGAAGGGUUGUUCCCGAUCAAAAGCGGUGUACAACCCGAAGGCGGUUAUCCCGCACGCGGGGUCUCUGCAUCUGGCUUGUGCCCAUUGUGCAAUAUACCCCACUGUUGUCUCCCGUAGGAGUCUGGGGGGUAUAUCAGUCCCAAUGUGGGCGGUCGCCCUCUCAGGCGGGGUACCCGUCGUAAGCUCGGGGGGGGGUUACCCCGCCGAAUACCUGAUAGGAGGCGAGACCAUCCCAUAUCGAUGAAAUUUUCCCAGAACAGCAUGCGAUGGA